This 506-nucleotide ribosomal RNA is filed under the name uncultured bacterium. RNAcentral describes it as "partial 16S ribosomal RNA". It matches the Rfam family "Bacterial small subunit ribosomal RNA", at positions 28 to 523 of the family's 1533-position model. The record is from RNAcentral.
GAUGAACGCUAGCUACAGGCUCAACACAUGCAAGUCGAGGGGUAACGAGAGGAAAGCUUGCUUUCCUUGUCGACGACCGGCGCACGGGUGAGUAACGCGUAUCCAACCUGCCCCCAACUAGGGAAUAACCUUGCGAAAGUAAGACUAAUACCCUAUAAUUUCCUCAGAUGACAUCUGACGAGGAAUAAAGAUUUAUCGGUUGUGGAUGGGGAUGCGUCUGAUUAGCUUGUUGGCGGGGUAACGGCCCACCAAGGCAACGAUCAGUAUGGGUUCUGAGAGGAAGGUCACCCACAUUGGAACUGAGACACGGUCCAAACUCCUACGGGAGGCAGCAGUGAGGAAUAUUGGUCAAUGGUCGGAAGCCUGAACCAGCCAAGUAGCGUGCAGGAUGACGGCCCUAUGGGUUGUAAACUGCUUUUAUACAGGAAUAAAGUUAGCCACGUGUGGUUAUUUGUAGGUACUGUAUGAAUAAGGACCGGCUAAUUCCGUGCCAGCAGCCGCGGUAA